GAAAUGCGAUAAUUAAUGUGAAUUGCAGAAUUCAGUGAAUCAUCGAGUCUUUGAACGCACAUUGCGCCCCCUGGUAUUCCGGGGGGCAUGCCUGUCCGAGCGUCAUUGCUGCCCUCAAGCACGGCUUGUGUGUAGGGCUUCCGUCCCUGGCAACGGGGACGGGCCCAAAAGGCAGUGGCGGCACCAUGUCUGGUCCUCGAGCGUAUGGGGCUUUGUCACCCGCUCCCGUAGGUCCAGCUGGCAGCUAGCCUCGCAACCAAUCUUUUUAACCAGGUUGACCUCGGAUCAGGUAGGGAUACCCGCUGAACUUAAGC
This 314-nucleotide unclassified non-coding RNA is filed under the name plant metagenome. RNAcentral describes it as "partial contains 5.8S ribosomal RNA, internal transcribed spacer 2, and large subunit ribosomal RNA". The stretch from base 1 to 105 matches the Rfam family "5.8S ribosomal RNA", at positions 50 to 154 of the family's 154-position model. The record is from RNAcentral.